GAAGGGUGCAAGCGUUACUCGGAAUUACUGGGCGUAAAGCGUGCGUAGGUGGUUGUUUAAGUCUGUUGUGAAAGCCCUGGGCUCAACCUGGGAACUGCAGUGGAAACUGGACAACUAGAGUGUGGUAGAGGGUAGCGGAAUUCCCGGUGUAGCAGUGAAAUGCGUAGAGAUCGGGAGGAACAUCCAUGGCGAAGGCAGCUACCUGGACCAACACUGACACUGAGGCACGAAAGCGUGGGGAGCAAACAGGAUUAGAUACCCUGGUAGUCCACGCCCUAAACGAUGCGAACUGGAUGUUGGGUGCAAUUUGGCACGCAGUAUCGAAGCUAACGCGUUAAGUCCGCCGCCUGGGGAGUACGGUCGCAAGACUG
RNAcentral lists this ribosomal RNA (371 nucleotides) under uncultured Gammaproteobacteria bacterium. Its description in RNAcentral is "bacterial SSU rRNA". It matches the Rfam family "Bacterial small subunit ribosomal RNA", at positions 527 to 896 of the family's 1533-position model. Lineage: Bacteria; Pseudomonadati; Pseudomonadota; Gammaproteobacteria. The record is from RNAcentral.